ACUGGGCAUGGUGGCACAUGCCUGUAAUCCCAGCAGCUCAGGAGGCUGAGACAGGAGGAUCGCAAGUUCAAGGCCAGUCUCAGCAAUUUAGUGAGGCCCUAAGCAACUUGGUAAGAUUCCGUCUCUA
RNAcentral lists this small RNA (127 nucleotides) under Marmota monax (woodchuck). Lineage: Eukaryota; Metazoa; Chordata; Mammalia; Rodentia; Sciuridae. The record is from RNAcentral.